GAUGAACGCUAGCGACAGGCUUAACACAUGCAAGUCGAGGGGCAGCACGGGAGUAGCAAUACAACUGGUGGCGACCGGCGCACGGGUGAGUAACGCGUAUGCAACCUACCUAUCAGAGGGGAAUAACCCGGCGAAAGUCGGACUAAUACCGCAUAAAACAGGGGCACCGCAUGGUGAUAUUUGUUAAAGAAAUUCGCUGAUAGAUGGGCAUGCGUUCCAUUAGGUAGUUGGUGAGGUAACGGCUCACCAAGCCGACGAUGGAUAGGGGAACUGGGAGGUUGGUCCCCCACACGGGUACGGAGACACGGACCAGACUCCUACGGGGGGCAGCAGUGAGGAAUAUUGGUCAAGGGGCGGGAGCCUGAACCAGCCAAGUCGCGUGAAGGAAGAAGGAUCUAUGGUUCGUAAACUUCUUUUGCAGGGGAAUAAAGUGCAGGACGUGUCCUGUUUUGUAUGUACCCUGAGAAUAAGGAUCGGCUAACUCCGUGCCAGCAGCCGCCGUAA
RNAcentral lists this ribosomal RNA (504 nucleotides) under uncultured bacterium. RNAcentral's name for it is "partial 16S ribosomal RNA". It matches the Rfam family "Bacterial small subunit ribosomal RNA", at positions 28 to 523 of the family's 1533-position model. The record is from RNAcentral.